Non-coding RNA from Oryctolagus cuniculus (rabbit), 7535 nucleotides. Lineage: Eukaryota; Metazoa; Chordata; Mammalia; Lagomorpha; Leporidae. The record is from RefSeq and is a predicted model, not a curated record.
UGGCCCUCACCACGUCUGUCUCCGAUUGGCUGCAGAAAGAGACCCGAGCGCCCCGGGACCCUAAGGUGGCCGACUGGGAGCCCCAGGCUGGCGCCUGUGAAGCUAGGGGCGCUAGGGGACCUGGCGGCUCUAUCGCACUGGGGACGGUGUGGCGCCAGAGUCUCCAAGGUCAAACCGCUGAUGGAUGCCGUUACUAGCCGCGCUCCGGCGCGCGCCCCAAGUCCCCGGGCUGUCUUCCCGCGGGAUCUUGUGGCGCGCGGGAGGCGGAGCCGGCCGGCCCGGGCAUCCCCUGGCACAACCUGCGUGUCUGUGUGGGGAACUAUUGCGACACGCAGGCCGGGCCCGACCGGCCGCCGGGCUGGACCGCGGCAGCCCGUUAGACGCCGGUCGGGUCUGGAGGGCCGGGUCCGCGGAAGGAUUCCGGAGGACCCGCAGCUCCCUCGGGCAGGACCCGGCGCCGGGCCCCGCAGCCGUUGUCGCUGAGUAAACCGCGCGCUGAUUGAAUGGAUGAGUGCUCCGCGGCCCGGGCUGUGGCCGGGCCCUGGGCCAGGCUGAGGGCUGGGGCGGGAAGGGAGAUGUCGAAAUGGGGAGGGAUGAUUCCGAGAGGACAAGUGCGGAGCUCGACUGGCGGCAAGGGGAAAGUCUGGCGACCAUGGGCAGGCUCGGACGCACUCCGGUCCGGAGUGCGAAACUUCAGCGUCCGGUCCCUGAGCCGGCGCUGCAGCGAGGGCCCAGACUGAAAAGACCGCCCCUCCCUGCCCGCGGGCGGGCCAGAGUCUUAGGAGCAGCGCCCGCUGGCUGUCGGACAAUGCCCGAGAGUCCCAGCUGCUGGACGUUGCCCCGGGGCCAGGCUGCGGCCUCUGAGAACCCCGCGCUUUCUCUACACCCGCGCGGCCGGGCUUCCGAGCGAGUUUGCGCACGCCUGCAUGCCCGCUCUCUGCAGCUCGGUCUUUGCCACCUAUUUGACUGAUGAUGCAAUUGUGAACUCUCAUCUGUUGACCGCGCUUCCUUAAAUAGGGAAGAGGUUUUUCUUUUUCUCUGAACUUUUGCCUUUCCCCAGGCCUCCAGUGUUUUGUUUCUUUUUGCUUGUUAACCUUGCAUGUCCCCCACCCCUCUUUUAAAUCACCUAUUCUCUACUUCAUCAGUAGCCAUUAUUAACCUUUGGGUCAUGACCUUUGGAAGCUAAUGAAACUACAGAUCCUGUUAUCCCACCUCUCUUCCCGCGUACACACAAAAUUUUGCAUAUAACUUUUGAGUUGCAAAGUCCCUGCAGGUAACUGGUGGAGUCCCAUUCAGCAUGUUCAAUGUUCCCUCUUGUCCAUUUGUCACCCUUGAGAAAUGAAUAGAUCUCACAAGAAACCCGCUUAGUCCUGCUGGAGUACUAAUUCCUUUUCUCCCAGUUGUCUCCAAUAAUGACUUUUGCCUUCUCUCUUUAAGCCCUACUUAAAAGAUUUAUUUAUUUAUUUGAAGGAGUUUGACACCGAGAGAUAAGGAGGGAGGGGAGAGGUCUUCCAUCUGUUGGUUCACUCCCAAUUGUCUGCAAUUACUGGAGCUGCACCAAUCCAAAGCCAGGAUCUUCUUCUGGGUCUCCCGCAUGGGUGCAGGGGCCCAAGGACUUGGGCCAUCUUCUAUUGCCUUCCCAGGCUGCAGCAGAGAGCUGGAUUGGAAGUGGAGCAUCCAGGACUCAAACCAGCACCCAUAUGGGAUACUGGCACUGUAGGCAGCAUCUUUACCCACUAUGCCACAGUGCGGGCCCCAUUAACUCUGAUUCUGGUAGGGCAUAUGGGCAUCGCAGAGAUUUAGCUGCUCCAAACAUCUGCCCUCCUUUUUUCCUUCUCAUUCAGUGGUCACAGAUGGCGUAUCCAAAUCCAGUGAUCUUUUUCUUAUUCCCCCUUUUCUUGACUGAGAGAUAGUGCUUGCUUCCCUUCGAACCAUCCCUUCACUGAAACUUCUUGCUAGCUUUAGAAAUCACUGUUUCAUUCUGUCUUUUAGAAUUCUCAAACUCAGCACUUCUGUAGCCAUUGAGGUGAAACAUUCAUCAAGGUUUAAUGCUUCUUGUUUGUUUCUAAUGCAAGAACUUUGCCAAUUCAAAACUGACUUCCUAUCAGAGCCCUAUCACUAGUUCCCUUGUGAAAUACUUUUUAACAGAUGUUUUCAUACAACAUCCCUUUGGUAAAUACUGAGUAUCAGUUUGUGCCUGGCACUGCACGUGAAGCCGGGGAUACAGGACAGAGUCAGUGCUCUCAUGGUGCCUACUUUUUAAUGGGGAAGGGGACAGGGGACAGAAAAACAAAAAUAUUAGAUAGUUUGGUUAGCAGAGUUGGGUGGGGUCCUUCAUACAAGGAAGAAUUCAGAUGUGAGACAGAGAAGAGUGGUAAGCAAGGUAGAAGGAUUUUAUGGAGUAGGACACCUAUCAGAACAGAUGGGACAGAAUCAGAGAGAGUGCCCAGUCACUCAGACUGGGGGAAAGCAAGGUUCAAUGGAGAGAAUGCACCCAGCAGGCCAGGCAGGUGGCUCAGCAGAGAGCUGAGUGCUGAGAGCACAGUCUGUAUUCAGAUGGGGUUUAUAAGGGGAAGGGGUCCAGUGCUUCCCUCCCGCUUCUUCAUUCUCCUCCAGGACAAAGGGUUUGCUGAGUGUGAAUUAGGUGAAAUUCUUCCCAAGGUUUCACAACUCAGUGCUGUCAGACUGGGGAGCCCCCUGGCUGGGCAGAGGAGCCUCCCCUACUGAACUACCUUGGAGGAAGGAUGUAAAGGUUUUAUUGCUCCAUGUUAUCUGGCCAGGUGACCCGCUUGGUGCUGAGGAGAGAGGAUGCUCCCUUGUGAGACCACCUGUAAGUUAUCAGGGUCUGGGAAGGACUUUGGAGUGUAAAGUCCUGGGCUGCUUCCAAGCUUCUGCAGAGGCUUUGUUUUCCUCAGGCCCCUCACACACACAGGCCAAUAUCUAACUUCCUACCUCUCAGUUCUAGGUGCUAUGCGGUCAAUGGAACUAGAGCACUGUGCUGAAGUGUGACUACUGAGAGGCUACAUUUGGACGGCCAGAGGACAUGGUGCAUUCGGAAUGACUGGCAGGAACCAGUCAUGACAGACGUGGAGAAGAGCAUUCCAGGAGAAGAAACAGUAGAUGCAACAAUCCUGAGAAUAAGGUUGGUGCGUGAACCAGUGAGAAGGCCAGCGUGGCCCGAGCAUGAUGAGUGUGGGGGAAGGUGAUACCAGAUGAGGUUGGAAAGAAAAGCAGGCGUGAUUUAUUUAUUUACUUGAAAGAGUUACAAGGCAAAGAGAGAGAGAGCGCGCGUGCGAGAGAGAGGUCUUCCAUCUGCUGGUUCACUCCCCAGAUGACUGCAGUGCCUGGGGCUGGGCCAGCUGAAGCCAGGAGCCAGGAGCUUCAUCUGGGUCUCCCUUGUGGGAGCAGGAGCCCGAGGACUUGGCCAUCUUCCUCUGCUUUCUCAGGUGCACUAGUGGGGAGCUGGAUCAGAAGGAGAGCGCCAGACUCAAACAGACACCCACAGGAGAGUUGCUGCAGGCAGCGGCUUUACCUGCUACACCAUUGCAUCCAAUGCUUAACUCUUUCAAAUAGUUACAGAGAGAGGAGAGACACAGGAGAAAUCUCACAUCUGCUGAUUCACUUCCCAGAUGGCUACAGUUGCCCAGACUAGGUCUGGUUGAAGCCAGGAGCCAGGAACUUGAUACGGGUCUCUCAAGUGAGUGCAGGUGCCCAAACACUUCGGCCAUCUUCCACUUCUUUUAUUAGGCCAGUAGCAGGGAGUUGGGACAGAAGUGGAGCAGCCAGGACUCAAACGAGCACCCAUAUGGGAUGUAGGCACUGCAGGUGGCGGCUUUACCCACUAUGCCGUAGCUGGAUUUAAAUCCUAAGCAACACAUGCUCUUCCCUAGAAUGUAUUUCUUCCUUUGUUCUUUUCAAAAUUCUCAUUUUUGAAGGUCCAAAAUUGGUCCCACUUUCACCUCUAGCUUACAUUACCCUGUUUUCCUGAACUGCUAUCACACAUGGCUUGAGGUAUCAGUGUGGUAUUGAAUGAUAUUGAGGAGUGGGUGUUUGGCACAGUAGUUAAGUCGUAGCUCGGGAUACCUGCAUAUUGGAGUGCCUAGUUCAAGUCCUGGCUACCUGAUUUCCAAUCCACCUUUCUGCUAGUUUGCACUCAAGGGAGCAGUAGGAUGCUGGAUCAAAUACUUGUAUCCCUGACUCCCAUGUGGGAGACCCAGAUUGAGUUCUGGGCUCCUGGCUUUGGCCUGGCCCAACCCUGGCUGUUAGGAGCAUUUAGGGAGAGAACCAGCAGAUGGAAAAUCUGUUUCUGUCUGUCUUUCUGUAUGUGUCUCCCUCCUACUAAUAAAAUGAAAAUAAAGAAUUUUAAUGAGAUUGAUUCCAGCAGCUGUACUUAAAAAUAAGACUGAUUUCUUCCUAGCCACUUAGAGAAAUUGAUUCCUAAAGGAGAAUGAGUAGACCAUGAGUGCAGUAGGAAUUCCUGGGGCAAUCAAUGAGGAUUGAAGGGCUUAGGAGAUAGCAUUAUGUGUUUCGGCAGUUUUCUUUUUCUUUUCUUUUCUUUUUUUUUUUUUUUUUUUUUUACAGGCAGAGUGGACAGUGAGAGAGAGAGACAGAGAGAAAGGUCUUCCUUUGCCGUUGGUUCACCCUCCAAUGGCCGCCACGGCCAGCGCACCGUGCUGGUCCGAAGGCAGGAGCCAGGUGCUUCUCCUGGUCUCCCAUGGGGUGCAGGGCCCAAGCACCUGGGCCAUCCUCACUGCACUCCUGGGCCACAGUAGAAGGCUGGCCUGGAAGAGGGGCAACCAGGACAGAAUCCGGUGCCCCGACCGGGACUAGAACCCAGUGUGCCGGCGCCGCAAGGCAGAGGAUUAGCCUAUUGAGCCGUGGCGAGGGCCUUUUUUUUUUUUUUUUUUAAUAAAGAUUUAUUUAUUUAUUUGAAAGACAGAGUUACACAGAAAGAGGAGAGGCAGAGAGAGAGAGAGAGUGGUCUUCCAUCCAAUGAUUCAUUCCCCAAUUGGCCUCAACGGCCGGAGCUGCACCCAUCCGAAGCCAGGAGCUUCUUCCAGGUCUCCCACACAGGUGCAGGGGCCCAAGGACUUGGGCCAUCUUCUACUGCUUUCCCAGGCCAUAGCAGAGAGCUGAAUGGGAAGUGGAGCAGCUGGGUCUUGAACCCAUAUGGGAUGCCAGCGCUUCAGGCCAGGGCAUUAACCCGUUGCACCACGGCGCUGGCCCCUCGGCAGUUUUCAAACUGGAUUGUGUGUACAGAAAGACUUUUCAAGGGACAUGUGGAGAACAAAGCUUCAACAAAUCAAUUUGCUACUCCACGUUUGCAUGUAUUCUUUUAUAUAACUCAUUUCCUGAAAAAGCAGUCGAGACGGUUCAUUCCUUCCCCCCCCUGCCCAGGCUGUCCUCCCACCUUACAAAAAAGGUAUGAUGUCACCCAUCCUCCAUCUCACUCUGGCUGAUUCCCCAGGUACAUAACAAUCUCCAGGUUGUUAGACAAGUCUGGUGUUGACAAAGCCUCAGUCAGUCAGAGUGGAACCAGAGACUUCAUAUCUUUUCCUGACUUAACUCUAUUUCUGUUAAGGGUAAAACAAGGCUUUAAAGAAUGCAUGUUUUGGUCCUUGUGGGAUAUUACAUGUAUGUAUAACUGUACAGUGGAAGAGUGGGGUUUUAGUUAACUACAUCAGCCAUUCCAACCCCUGUCUGUUGUCAAAGAAUAUCUUGCUUCCGAGGGGGUUACCCAGACAGCAGAGCCAAGAAAGCAUAAUUACUUGUUAAAGAUGGUAAAGCCUUAUAUCAUUCAGGUGGCACACACGAGGCAAGGUCUGUGCUUUAUCCAUCUUGGGACUCAAAUAUUCAAGAUUCAUCAUUUUUAGUUUCAUGCUGGGAAGUAAUAAUGUGGAACACAAUGAAGUUUUCCCUCUCAUCAGAAACAAAGAGGGGUGGGCAUUUGGCACAGUUGUUAAACUACUGCUUAGGACUUCUGCAUCCCAUAUCAGAGUCCCUGCGUUCAAGUCCUGGCUCCACUUCUGAAACAGCUUCCUGCUAAUGUGUACCGUGGGAGGUAAUGGAUAACGGCUCAAGUACUUGGGUCCCUGCUACCCACGUUGGAGACCCAGAUUGAGUUUCUAGCUCUCGGUUUCAGCCUGACCCAGCCCUGGCUUUGUAGGCAUUUGGGGAGUGAACCAGUGGGUGGAAAAAAUCUCUGUGUCUAUCUGUUUCUCUCUCUGACUCUUUCAAAUAAAAUGAAAAUAAGUCUAAAUAAAACCCUUUCCUUUACAAAUAAAAAAGAAUCAAGAAAGUGCAGAGUGAUAGGCUAUUUCUCAUUUACUCAUAUCUCAACUUGGGUCUCAAGUUUAUAUAUUUUGCAUUACUUCUAGAAUUAUAGAGAAAACAUGUGUUUACAUGUUUCACAGAUCAACACCAUUCCUUUAAGUAAAAGGAAACAAUGUCAAAGGUAAAUUUAUAUUUUAUAUUUUCUUGAAUAUUCAGGCUUGCAGUAAAGAUAUUUUCAUUUUCCCUCAUCGAAAGAUUAUCAGUUAUAUCACUUCAUACUCACUAGAAUAUUUAUAAUCAACAAACAAAACAAUUGUUGAAAGGUAACAAACAUUGAGAAUGUCAGGAAAUUGCUGGUAGGAAUGCAAAAAUCAUUCAUCCAUUGUGGAAAAGUUUGGUGGUGCCUCAAAAAGUUACACAUAGAAUCACCAUAUGACACAGCAGUUUCACUCGUAGGUAGACAUCCAGAAGAACUGAAAAUAGGUAUUCUGUACAUGUACAUGCAUGUUCAUAACAGCACUUUUCACAGCAGACAAAAAUGAAAACAGCCCAAGUGUCCAUCACAUAAGAAUGGAUAAAUUGUGUGUGUGUAUGUGUGUGUAUAUGAAAUGAAUAUUAUUUAGCCACAGAAAGGAAUGAAGUAGUGAUACAUGUUAUAAUGUGAAUGAACCUUGAAAACCUCAAGUGAAGGCAGCCAAAUUCAUACAGUUACAUGUGACUCUGCUUAUGUGAAAUAUCUGGUAUAGGUAUUAUCUAUAGACCCAGAAUGCAUAUUGGUGGUCCAGAGAUAAUAUGGACUGAGGAGUGGGAAUAACUGCUUAAUGAGUAUGGGAUUUCCUUUUGUAGAGAUGAAAUGUGUUGGAAGUUGGUAGCAGUAGUGGUUGCACAGCAUUAUGAAUGUACUCAGUGCCACUGACAUGUCCAAUUUAAGCUGGUUAUAUUAUGCGAAUUUCACCUCAAUUAAAAAAUGGAAAGAUUGACUAGUACCCAGAGAUGAGCUGAAUAUCCUUUCAAAUGCCUCUGUAACUCAAAGAACAGCUCUAAGCCAGUCAUAAUAUCACUCCUGGGUUGCCUUGCAUCAGUCUUCAAGAAUGAUCUACAAGGUGAUCGCGAAGACUUCUUUUUGAUUGAUGAAAAUGUUUAAGAAGUAUAUUGUGGUGAUGUUUGUACAACCCUUGUCUAUAUCAAAGCCCAUUGAGUUAGGUGAAUUUUAUGAUAUGUGAAUUACAUUUCAAUAAAGCUUUUUUUAAGUGAAGAUCUAA